UUUGGCUCUCUCUCACUCACUCAUACAAAGCAGAGGAGGGAAGGACAGACUGCCUAGGAGAUUAGGGAAGACUUAAAAGGAGAAGUAACAUUUGAGCUGCCUGAACCCACGCUUUCUCGCUCUCGCUGCAUAAAGCUGCCCCGAGCCACUUUCCACUCCUUGUCAGUCACUUCUAGAACCUUCCGCAAUCACCAAGUUCCUGGUCCCCCAGAAGUGAACAUCUGUUGAGCACCUACCACGUGCAGGGUGCUCUUGCUGAGUACUGGGAACAGACGAGGCAAGCCUCUGGAGACAGUGCGGGUCUGGUUCCAGACCACCACAAUGAAACAAAUACCACAAUGAAGGGAGGCGGAUGACUUUUUGGUUUCCCAGUGCACAUCAAAGUUACGUGUACCCUACACUGGAGUCUCUUAAGUAUGCAACAGCAGGAUGUCUAAAAACCGUGCGAUGCUGUUUGAUAGCACUUUACCCACCGAAGAACUUCUUUCAGAACUGGAGGCAAUCCUCUCAAACCCUGCUGCCGCUUUAUCAACUCAGUGGACGUCAUACCCUCAAUCCUUGUUGUCAUUUCAACCAUCUCCAUAGCAUCGUCACCUGGCGUAGAUUCCAUUUCAAGAAACCACUUUCUUUGCUCAUCCACAAGAAGCAAUUCUUCACCUGUUCACGUUUUAUCACGAGAUUGCAGCCGUUCAAAUAUAGUAAUGAAAAAGUCUGAAAUCUUGCAAGAAUUACCAAAAUGUGACACAGAGACACAAAGUGAGCAAAUGCUAUUGGAAAAAUGGCACCAAUAGACCUGCUUGACACAGGGUUGCCACAACCUUGGAUUUGUAAAAACCACCGUAUCUGUGAAGCAUAACAAAAGAGCUAUUGUGAAUAAUGCUGCUAUGAACACUGGUGUACAAAUAUCUGCUUGAGUCCCUGCUUUCAAUUCUUUUGGACAUUACCAAGGAGUGGAAUUGCUGGAUCAUAUGGUAAUUCUAUGUUUAGCUUGCUGAGGAACCAUCAAACUGUUUUCCCCAACUUCAACCUUUUGCACAUGGGUGUUCCUGUUGUCCCUGAACCAUUUGUUGAGUUACUUCUGUUCUUGGGCUGACAUAAUUCGCCACCAAGCUUCUCAGUAUGGCAUAUCAACCCUCCAUGACUGAAUGUCUCACCUGAAGCCAUUAUUCAGUGACAUUGGGCAAAGCCCAUGUCAGACCAUAUUGGAUUUUCAGAAGUGGAAAGG
Ailuropoda melanoleuca (giant panda) is the source of this 1225-nucleotide long non-coding RNA. RefSeq lists it as uncharacterized. NCBI's taxonomy places the organism in Eukaryota, Metazoa, Chordata, Mammalia, Carnivora, Ursidae. The transcript is spliced from 4 exons. The record is from RefSeq and is a predicted model, not a curated record.